GACGAACGCUGGCGGCGUGCUUAACACAUGCAAGUCGAACGGAAAGGCCCUGCUCUUGUGGGGUGCUCGAGUGGCGAACGGGUGAGUAACACGCGAGUAACCUGCCCCUGACUUUGGGAUAACUUCAGGAAACUGGGGCUAAUACCGGAUAGGAGCUCUUGAUCCAUGGUGGGGGUUGGUAAGAUUCGGCGGUUGGGGAUGGACUCGCUGCUUAUCAGCUUGUUGGUGGGGUAGUGGCUUACCAAGGCUUCGACGGGUAGCCGGCCUGAGAGGGUGACCGGCCACAUUGGUACUGAGGUACGGCCCAGACUCCUACGGGAGGCAACAGUGGAGAAUAUUGCACAAUGAGCGGAAGCCAGAUGCAGAGACGCCGCGUGCGGGAUGACGGCCUUCGAGUUGAAAACCGAUUUCGCCUGUAACGAGGCGUGAGUGACGGUAAUGAGUAAAAAAGCACCGGCUAACUACGUG
RNAcentral lists this ribosomal RNA (468 nucleotides) under uncultured bacterium. Its description in RNAcentral is "partial 16S ribosomal RNA". It matches the Rfam family "Bacterial small subunit ribosomal RNA", at positions 28 to 507 of the family's 1533-position model. The record is from RNAcentral.